RNAcentral lists this microRNA precursor (194 nucleotides) under Oryza brachyantha (malo sina). RNAcentral's name for it is "MIR812 microRNA precursor family". It matches the Rfam family "MIR812 microRNA precursor family". The record is from Rfam by way of RNAcentral. Lineage: Eukaryota; Viridiplantae; Streptophyta; Magnoliopsida; Poales; Poaceae.
AAUAAACGAAUUUAUGAGUUUUUAGAUAGAAUUUUUGAGUCUUCGUCUUAUUUGAAAAAUUAUGAUUAAUAUUUUUUGUUAUUAUUACAUGAUAAAACAUGAACAGUACUUUACAUGUGACUAAUAUUUUAAAAAAUUUUAAUAAAAUUUUCAAAUAAGACGGAUGGUCAAACGGUCUAUACAUAAAGCUCAGA